UACGUAGGUGGCAAGCGUUGUCCGGAUUUAUUGGGUUUAAAGGGUGCGUAGGCGGUCUAUUAAGUCAGUGCUGAAAUAUCCCGGCUUAACCGGGAGGGUGGCAUUGAUACUGAUGGACUUGAGUAGAGUUGAGGUUGGCGGAAUUGACGGUGUAGCGGUGAAAUGCUUAGAUAUCGUCAAGAACACCGAUAGUGAAGACAGCUAACUAAACUCUAACUGACGCUGAGGCACGAAAGUGUGGGGAUCAAACAGG
This 253-nucleotide ribosomal RNA is filed under the name uncultured bacterium. RNAcentral's name for it is "partial 16S ribosomal RNA". It matches the Rfam family "Bacterial small subunit ribosomal RNA", at positions 524 to 776 of the family's 1533-position model. The record is from RNAcentral.